RNAcentral lists this ribosomal RNA (620 nucleotides) under uncultured archaeon. RNAcentral's name for it is "bacterial SSU rRNA". It matches the Rfam family "Archaeal small subunit ribosomal RNA", at positions 55 to 667 of the family's 1478-position model. The record is from RNAcentral.
UAGUCGACGGUGCUUCUUCUUCGGAAGAUGUAACCCGGCGGACGGCUCAGUAACACGUGGACAACUUGCCCUUGGGUCCGGAAUAACCCCUGAGAAAUUGGGGAUAAUACAGGAUAGAGCAUCGGUUGCUGGAAUGCACGGUGUUCGAAAGUUGAGGCGCCCAAGGAUAGGUCUGCGGCCGAUUAGGUUGUUGUUGAUGUAACGGAUCAACAAGCCUACGAUCGGUACGGGUUGUGAGAGCAAGAGCCCGGAGAUGGGUUCUGAGAGAAGAACCCAGGUCCUACGGGACGCAUCAGGCGCGGAAACUUUACAAUGUGCGAAAGCACGAUAAGGGAACUCUGAGUGCCUCCUAAGGAGGCUGUUCAGGUGUCUAAAAAGCACUUGAAGGAAGGGCUGGGUAAGACCGGUGCCAGCCGCCGCGGUAACACCGGCAGCCCAAGUGGUAGUCACGCUUAUUGGGUCUAAAGCGUCCGUAGCCGGCUGAGUAAGUUCUUUGGGAAAUUUAACCGCUUAACGGUUAAGCUUUCAGUGAAUACUGCUUAACUUGGGACCGGGAGAGGUCAAAAGUACCUCAAGGGGUAGGGGUGAAAUCCAUUAAUCCUUGAGGGACCACCGGUAGC